RNAcentral lists this unclassified non-coding RNA (712 nucleotides) under Vahlkampfia sp. AK-2007. Its description in RNAcentral is "partial contains ITS1, 5.8S ribiosomal RNA, ITS2, 28S ribosomal RNA". The stretch from base 223 to 376 matches the Rfam family "5.8S ribosomal RNA". Lineage: Eukaryota; Heterolobosea; Eutetramitea; Acrasida; Vahlkampfiidae. The record is from RNAcentral.
GAAGAACGUGGAUCGGUCGUGAUCUACCUCUCCUCCGGGAGUGGCAGAGCACGCUCCGACACCUGAUAGCGAACGGUCGAAGUCCCUUCCCGGGACCUCAAGGACUCCGGUCCUCGAACCAUCCCGGGGAGACUCCAAAAACCGUAGCCCCCUCGGCGAAACAUCGAUCGAGGGAGGGAUCGCUCGUCGAUCCUUCCGAGAAACGAGAAUAACCUAGUCGACUACUUUCGACGACGGAUACCUCGGUUCCCACGCCGAUGAAGAGCGCGGCGAAACGCGAUAUGUCGUGCGAAUCGCAGAAUUCGGCGAAUCACGCAAUCCUCGAACGCAUCCGGCGCUCUCGGGUCUUCCCGGGAGCAUGCCCGUCUGAGCGUCGUUCCCAAAAAUCCCAACCCCAGAUGAUUAAAAACCAUCCGGGGAUGGGUGAUCGGGAGUCUGCAGCGAUGCAGUCUUCUGGGAACGAGGCGCACCUCCUCGAGCCCCAUCCGACGAUGAGGGAUCAGGUGCUUAGCUUCCGUUGAGAGCGCCUUUGGGUGCAACUCAUUUCGGGAGUGCUUGCCCUGAACCAUUCAACUCUCGUCGAUCUUGGGAUCAGCUCUCGGUUGGACAGACGCCGUCCGUGGUCCGUGAGACCAGGGUCGGAGGAGUCAAAUCCUCCCCUCUCUAACCACGACCUCAGAUCGGGCAAGAUUACCCGCUGAACUUAAGCAUU